RNAcentral lists this non-coding RNA (46 nucleotides) under Trichobilharzia regenti. The record is from RNAcentral. Lineage: Eukaryota; Metazoa; Platyhelminthes; Trematoda; Strigeidida; Schistosomatidae.
AUCUAGAUGAUGAGUCCCAAGAUAGGACGAAAUGCACAUCCUAGAA